GGGCUCGGGCGGGGCUCCGGCCAAUGCGGGGCGUGCCCGGCGCGGCGCGCGCGGCGGCUGCAGGGGGACGUGAGGCCCGUGAGAUUUCUCAGUGCCAAGAGCUGGAAGGACAAGCUGUGUGCUCUUUUUUCUUCACAUAUUAGCAAGACCUACUGGGAUAGGAGACUGGAAGAGGAAGAAUCACAAAUCAGUGCUUCCCUGGGCUCUUUCCAAAUGAACCAGCUGAGGAAGCACAAGGACACAGAGGGACAGGAGUCAAGGGGAAGAAGGAACUGUUUUAAAUUGUACAUGUAGCCAACAGAUGUCACUGGAACCACAAUCCCAGAACAGAUUCUGCAGCAGCAAGAGGAUGCUUUCUCUCACUGGAACACCCGAGCCAGACAUUUCUCCACCGGCGAUAUUGCUUGGGCCACGGCUGCUGCCUGCUCGCCUCUUCUGAAAAGAAAUAUUUGCAAGGCUCCUCCUCGCUGUCCGAAUUGUUCAUGAACGUGAUCAUCGCCGCUUCCCAAGGGAGCGCUCAGGAGGGCACGGCCAAGCAACACCCAAGGCUGUGGGGACAAACAGAGCAGAGGGGAAGAAAACACUGAGCCCCACUGUAAAUAACUGAAAGUCUGAAGAGGAUUCAGCAGGUUUCAGCAGGGAGGCUCCAGCACACCAUGCAGCUCCAUCUCCUCCCACCAGCAGGUUUAUCCUGCCCUCACCCAGGCAUGACAAUCCCUUCAGUUCAAGUCAUGGGACCGCUGCAGGCACGGAUAUCAGCACAAUGCACCACUAAAGAAACUUGCUUUUUCUUUACCACAGCUUUCACACUUGCUGCCUCUAUUUCCCCUCUCCCAUCAGUACACCUUACCUUCCACAAAGGAGGUUUCUCAGUGCUCAGUGUUUGUUUGGCAGGGGCAGACACAGAUUCACCUCACACCCUGGCUGCCUGUCAAAAAGCUCAGCUCUUACACAACACUCCCAGGAGCAUCAGCAAGGAGCAGAAGUUUCUCAGUAACCUGGAGCCUCAGCUAAUCAGGAGCUACAUGCUGUCUUAUGACUGUUUAUUAACCAGAAUAAUUUUAUUAGCAGUGCUUCUCUUUGCUGAUGAAGAGGUUUGCAUAGCAAGGGAAACACCUGUCUCCUUUUAGGAGAGCCACUUCUGGGUUUUUCCUUAUGUU
Haemorhous mexicanus (house finch) is the source of this 1160-nucleotide long non-coding RNA. RefSeq lists it as uncharacterized. The record is from RefSeq and is a predicted model, not a curated record. The transcript is spliced from 5 exons. Lineage: Eukaryota; Metazoa; Chordata; Aves; Passeriformes; Fringillidae.